Molecule: ribosomal RNA, 599 nt
Filed under: Acinetobacter ursingii
Lineage: Bacteria; Pseudomonadati; Pseudomonadota; Gammaproteobacteria; Moraxellales; Moraxellaceae
Description: bacterial SSU rRNA
Rfam family: Bacterial small subunit ribosomal RNA
Source: RNAcentral
GCAAGUCGAGCGGAGAGAAGUAGCUUGCUACUGAUCUUAGCGGCGGACGGGUGAGUAAUACUUAGGAAUCUGGCUAUUAGUGGGGGACAACAUUUCGAAAGGGAUGCUAAUACCGCAUACGUCCUACGGGAGAAAGCAGGGGAUCAGUAAUGACCUUGCGCUAAUAGAUGAGCCUAAGUCGGAUUAGCUAGUUGGUGGGGUAAAGGCCUACCAAGGCGACGAUCUGUAGCGGGUCUGAGAGGAUGAUCCGCCACACUGGGACUGACACACGGCCCAGACUCCUACGGGAGGCAGCAGUGGGGAAUAUUGGACAAUGGGGGGAACCCUGAUCCAGCCGUGCCGCGUGUGUGAAGAAGGCCUUAUGGUUGUAAAGCACUUUAAGCGAGGAGGAGGGUACUGGUAUUAAUACUACCAGGUACUGGACGUUACUCGCAAAAUAAGCACCGGCUAACUCUGUGCCAGCAGCCGCGGUAAUACAGAGGGUGCGAGCGUUAAUCGGAUUUACUGGGCGUAAAGCGUGCGUACGCGGCUAAUUGAGUCGGAUGUGAAAUCCCCGAGCUUAACUUGGGAAUUGCAUUCGAUACUGGUUAGCUAGAGUG